UGGAUUCACCUAGGUGCUAGCAAGAUUAACACGAACCCAAUAGGAUUUCUCUAAAUCUAUAUUAAUUGAUACUUCAUAAGCCCAAUUAUAAUUAAUUAAGGUCUUCUUUCUUUAUGUGUGAUACCAUAGGUUCAAUUCUAUCUGGUAGUAAGACAUAUCAUGAUCUCUAUUAUAGGCAUUACUGAAAUUUUUUUCAGUGGGUCGGAAUAGUUUCACUCUAACUCGACAA
This 229-nucleotide long non-coding RNA is filed under the name Elaeis guineensis (African oil palm). RNAcentral describes it as "long non-coding RNA (EGUI_LNC046094)". The record is from RNAcentral. Lineage: Eukaryota; Viridiplantae; Streptophyta; Magnoliopsida; Arecales; Arecaceae.